GAAGAAGUUCCGUUCGAACAGGGGGGCGAAGUGACGGUACCCAAAGAGCAAGCCCCGGCUAACUACGUGCCAGCAGCCGCGGUAAUACGUAGGGGGCGAGCGUUGUCCGGAAUUAUUGGGUGUAAAGGGCGCGCAGGCGGUCCNUUAAGUCAGAUGUGAAAUUCCGGGGCUUAACCCUGGAGGGUCAUUUGAAACUGGGGGUCUUGAGUGCAGGAGAGGAAAGCGGAAUUCCUAGUGUAGCGGUGAAAUGCGUAGAUAUUUGGAGGAACACCAGUGGCGAAGGCGGCUUUCUGGUCAGUAACUGACGCUGAGGCGCGAAAGCGUGGGGAGCAAACAGGAUUAGAUACCC
RNAcentral lists this ribosomal RNA (349 nucleotides) under uncultured bacterium. Its description in RNAcentral is "bacterial SSU rRNA". It matches the Rfam family "Bacterial small subunit ribosomal RNA", at positions 444 to 787 of the family's 1533-position model. The record is from RNAcentral.